GACGGAGGAUGCAAGUGUUAUCCGGAAUCACUGGGCGUAAAGCGUCUGUAGGUGGUUCAAUAAGUCAACUGUUAAAUCUUGAGGCUCAACUUCAAAAUCGCAGUCGAAACUAUUAAACUAGAGUAUAGUAGGGGUAAAGGGAAUUUCCAGUGGAGCGGUGAAAUGCGUAGAGAUUGGAAAGAACACCAAUGGCGAAAGCACUUUACUGGGCUAUUACUGACACUGAGGAGCGAAAGCGUGGGGAGCGAACAGG
RNAcentral lists this ribosomal RNA (253 nucleotides) under uncultured bacterium. RNAcentral's name for it is "partial 16S ribosomal RNA". It matches the Rfam family "Bacterial small subunit ribosomal RNA", at positions 524 to 776 of the family's 1533-position model. The record is from RNAcentral.